Molecule: ribosomal RNA, 253 nt
Filed under: uncultured bacterium
Lineage: Bacteria
Description: partial 16S ribosomal RNA
Rfam family: Bacterial small subunit ribosomal RNA
Source: RNAcentral
UACGGAGGAUCCGAGCGUUAUCCGGAUUUAUUGGGUUUAAAGGGAGCGUAGGUGGAUUGUUAAGUCAGUUGUGAAAGUUUGCGGCUCAACCGUAAAAUUGCAGUUGAAACUGGCAGUCUUGAGUACAGUAGAGGUGGGCGGAAUUCGUGGUGUAGCGGUGAAAUGCUUAGAUAUCACGAAGAACUCCGAUUGCGAAGGCAGCUCACUGGACUGCGACUGACACUGAGGCUCGAAAGUGUGGGUAUCAAACAGG